CUACGGGUCGCAGCAGUGAGGAAUAUUGUACAAUGGGGGGAACCCUGAUGCAGCAACGCCGCGUGGAGGAUGACGCAUUUCGGUGUGUAAACUCCUUUUAUAUGUCAAGAAAAUGACGGUAGCAUAUGAAUAAGCACCGGCUAACUCCGUGCCAGCAGCCGCGGUAAUACGGAGGGUGCAAGCGUUACUCGGAAUCACUGGGCGUAAAGGACGCGUAGGCGGGCUUGUAAGUCAGGUGUGAAAUCCUACAGCUUAACUGUAGAACUGCACUUGAAACUACGAGCCUAGAGUAUGGGAGGGGCAGAUGGAAUUAGUGGUGUAGGGGUAAAAUCCGUAGAUAUCACUAGGAAUACCUAAAGCGAAGGCGAUCUGCUGGAACAUAACUGACGCUAAGGCGUGAAAGCGUGGGGAGCAAACAGGAUUAGAUACCCUCGUAGUC
RNAcentral lists this ribosomal RNA (439 nucleotides) under uncultured bacterium. RNAcentral's name for it is "partial 16S ribosomal RNA". It matches the Rfam family "Bacterial small subunit ribosomal RNA", at positions 339 to 795 of the family's 1533-position model. The record is from RNAcentral.